Molecule: ribosomal RNA, 468 nt
Filed under: uncultured bacterium
Lineage: Bacteria
Description: partial 16S ribosomal RNA
Rfam family: Bacterial small subunit ribosomal RNA
Source: RNAcentral
GACGAACGCUGGCGGCGUGCUUAACACAUGCAAGUCGAACGGAAAGGCCCUGCUUUUUUGUGGUGCUCGAGUGGCGAACGGGUGAGUAACACGUGAGUAACCUGCCCUUGACUUUGGGAUAACUUCAGGAAACUGGGGCUAAUACCUAAUAGGAGCUCCUUCUGCAUGGUGGGGGUUGGACAGUUUCGGCGGUUGGGGAUGGACUCGCGGCUAAUCAGCUUGUUGGUGGGGUAGUGGCUUACGAAGGCUUUGACGGGUCGCCGGCCUGGGAGGGUGACCGGGCACAUUGGGACUGGGAAACGGCCAAGACUGCUACUGGAGGAAGCGGUGGGGAUGAUUGGACAAUGGGCGGAAGCCGGAUGCAGGAACGCCGCGUGGUGGAGGACGGUUAUCGGGGUGGAAACCGCUUUCGCCUGUGAGGAAGAGUGAGUGACGGUAAUGGGUAAAGAAGCACCGGCUAACUACGUG